GGUUCUGGCUCAGUGUUAGAGUUCUUGCUUAGCAGGCGUGAGGCUCUGGGUUCAAUCCUCAGCACCA
RNAcentral lists this transfer RNA (67 nucleotides) under Marmota monax (woodchuck). RNAcentral's name for it is "tRNA.Ala". The record is from RNAcentral. Lineage: Eukaryota; Metazoa; Chordata; Mammalia; Rodentia; Sciuridae.